This 421-nucleotide ribosomal RNA is filed under the name uncultured Sphingomonas sp. RNAcentral's name for it is "bacterial SSU rRNA". It matches the Rfam family "Bacterial small subunit ribosomal RNA", at positions 57 to 524 of the family's 1533-position model. Lineage: Bacteria; Pseudomonadati; Pseudomonadota; Alphaproteobacteria; Sphingomonadales; Sphingomonadaceae. The record is from RNAcentral.
GCAAGUCGAACGAAAUGUUUCGAUCUAGUGGCGCACGGGUGCGUAACGCGUGGGAAUCUGCCCUUGGGUUCGGAAUAACAGCUGGAAACGGCUGCUAAUACCGGAUGAUGACGUAGGUCCAAAGAUUUACCGCCCAAGGAUGGGCCCGCGUAGGAUUAGCUAGUUGGUGAGGUAAAGGCUUACCAAGGCGACGAUCCUUAGCUGGUCUGAGAGGAUGAUCAGCCACACUGGGACUGAGACACGGCCCAGACUCCUACGGGAGGCAGCAGUGGGGAAUAUUGGACAGUGGGCGAAAGCCUGAUCCAGCAAUGCCGCGUGAGUGAUGAAGGCCUUAGGGUUGUAAAGCUCUUUUACCGGGGAUGAUAAUGACAGUACCGGGAGAAUAAGCCCCGGCUAACUCCCUGCCAGCAGCCGCGGUAAU